GCCAUGACUCAAUACUAGAACAUCUGUUUGGCAUGCAGAAGGUCCCAGGUUCAAACCCUGGAAUCUCCA
RNAcentral lists this transfer RNA (69 nucleotides) under Sphaerodactylus townsendi. RNAcentral describes it as "tRNA-Ala". Lineage: Eukaryota; Metazoa; Chordata; Lepidosauria; Squamata; Sphaerodactylidae. The record is from RNAcentral.